CCAAGUUUUUAAUUGAUGAAUUUGGAGCUCAGCACAGAAUCGAUAACAAAUGUAAAGUUUUAAUAUUCCUAUACUAUAUUUAAUUUUAAUCAACGGAAGUUACUCAUCAGCAGCUAGACAAGUUUGAAUGAUUAUCUCUUAUAUAAAUAUCAUACUUCUCAAGAAAAGCGACACCUGAAAAAAUUCUGCGGCUGUGUGAUCGGGAAUUGAACCCGGAUUAUCCAGAAUAGAAGUAUGUAUAUUUCUAUCCUGGCUAAUUCAAUUCGAUUUCAGAUCUCGCACUUCCAGAUUUUUUAAUUGGCGGUUCGGGCUUAGUCCUUUGAAACUUUCACCUUAAAGUUGGCCAUCGUGAAUAUAAGUAGCCCUCUUAGUGAAUGGUAGGCUUUUGGACUAAUCCCUUCGCUUGUAUUUAAAAGGAUUUGAAAAUGGCAUAAAAUCUAGAAAGAAAUUUAUUUAUUUUUUCGUUAAAAAAGAUGAAUAUCUUUAUUUCUAGAAAGUAAUAAAUUCCACCCUGUAGAGCGAAACUAGCAUUACUAUAGACUACCAUCCCUGCUAAGAAGUCAGCAGAUUGAAGAUCGAUGGCCGGACUUAGAUUCCUUUAACAAAUUUUUCAAGAAUAGAAUCAAACUUAGUUUACCUGGAUGGAAAGUUGAAGCAUAUUCACAUGACUAAUCUGGCAAACACAUUCUAUCUGCUGUAUUUGAUAAUCCAGUUCAUGUUACCUGAAUUUAAGAAAAUGCGAAAAGUUUGAUCGUCCAUCAUUUUUAAAUGGAUGAAUCUGUAUGUUAAAACAUGCACUGUCGAACUCACUUUUGGUAAUAGAACCAUCGGCCAGAUGGUCGCUUGUUAACGCAAUUGCUUAACAUCUUGGAGGAUCUGGAUUCAAUUUCGAUCCCACUCCUCUACCUUUUCAAGAAGGGUUCACGCCUGAAAAAGUGAAUGUAUGAUCCCAUCUUUUAACCGGUUGACCCCAUUAUGGAUGCUGGCCAAUUAUGUGAGUUCUAAGAACGGUAGCCCUAAAUUUAUGCUUUAAGUGAUUUGAUGCUGUAGUUCAAAAUAACCUUAGUAGUAGGAAGCAUCCUACAGAAUUCAAUAAAAGUCUGAACUAAUUAGUUGAGAAGUUUAGGUUAAUUUUAAUUAUGCCGCCAAAUUCCGUAUGGGAAACUUUGGACGGUGGUUGUUUUAAAGCCCAUCACAUAUUGGCUAUCACUUAUGAUAGAAUCAACCGGAAGAUUGAAAGAUAGGGACUCGGAUCCUCCGUGAUAAGCGAUUUCUUUAACAACGUCCGUCUAACCGACUUAAAAAUUAAUAAUGAUAUUUCAACAAAUGAGCAAUGAUGAUCUUGCGCUUCAAUUUUCUUUGAAAAGUAGAUUUAAAAAAUAUAGAUCUAUUAACAAAGAAGUUUACGAUGGAUAAUAAUCAGGAGAAAAUGCAAUGAGUCUAAAUCAAAACAUUAAACAUAAGCGGCGGAUGGCCGAAUGGCAACGCAUUGGCGUGGCACGAAGGAGGACCCAAGUUCGCUUCCCGGGUCCGGCAUCUCCUGGAAAGAUCUUUCGGGAUUCCGGGCCCAGCCCGGAGAUCUCCGUCCGUCAUCAUCUGGCUCUCUUGUACUGGUGUGGAUGCAGCCUAUGGUUAGAACUGGCUCCGCCCCUUAGUAAUCUCCCUGAUUGGAAAGGACCGUAAGAAAGAAAAGGGUGGAAAAACAUGAAACAUAGAUCAUAUGAAU
RNAcentral lists this long non-coding RNA (1726 nucleotides) under Androctonus crassicauda. The record is from RNAcentral. Lineage: Eukaryota; Metazoa; Arthropoda; Arachnida; Scorpiones; Buthidae.